GAAAUUACGCCUUCCAUGAAGCCGGAAUUGCUAGUAAUGGCAGGUCAGCAUACUGCCGUGAAUACGUUCCCGGGCCUUGUACACACCGCCCGUCACACCAUGAGAGUUGGGAAUACCCGAAGCCUGUGAGCUAACUUUUAGAGGCAGCAGUCGAAGGUAGAAUCAAUGAUUGGGGUGAAGUCGUAACAAGGUAAC
Molecule: ribosomal RNA, 195 nt
Filed under: uncultured bacterium
Lineage: Bacteria
Description: partial 16S ribosomal RNA
Rfam family: Bacterial small subunit ribosomal RNA
Source: RNAcentral